This 90-nucleotide transfer RNA is filed under the name Dehalococcoidia bacterium. RNAcentral's name for it is "tRNA-Ser". It matches the Rfam family "tRNA". Rfam says of the family: Transfer RNA (tRNA) molecules are approximately 80 nucleotides in length. Their secondary structure includes four short double-helical elements and three loops (D, anti-codon, and T loops). The record is from RNAcentral. Lineage: Bacteria; Bacillati; Chloroflexota; Dehalococcoidia.
GGAGAGGUGCUGGAGUGGACGAUCAGGCGCGCCUGGAGAGCGCGUGGCCGGUCUACCGGCCCGUGGGUUCGAAUCCCACCCUCUCCGCCA